Cyprinodon variegatus (sheepshead minnow) is the source of this 570-nucleotide long non-coding RNA. RefSeq lists it as uncharacterized. The transcript has 6 exons. The record is from RefSeq and is a predicted model, not a curated record. NCBI's taxonomy places the organism in Eukaryota, Metazoa, Chordata, Actinopteri, Cyprinodontiformes, Cyprinodontidae.
GAUUGUCAAAACCAUUUAAAGACAAAUGCUUUUUUUCUUUUUUAGAUAUUGUUGAAAUCACUGCUCGUGUGUUCUCAGAUCAUGAGGAUGGAAUUGAUGCUGCCAUUGAAGAAGUCAAAUUAAAACUAGAACAAAACCAGUCAAAUGUAAGCCAUCAACAUCAUCAGACAAAUGCUGCAUCCUUGGCUUCUUUAACACUUCAAGAAAAUACAGAGGGAAAUGAUACUGUUGAUUAUGCAAGAACCAUAGAAAAGGAAAUCCCUGCCGCCGAUGAAGCAAAACAUUUGACAGAGAAAGACAAAGGAAUCCACCAAUGUCAUGGCACUGGUUGAUGAGCUACGCAAGAUGAGGAUGGUUACCGGGGAAACCUAUUCUAUCAUUGAAGAAACAAAAACAAAUCAGGACAAAAUGAGGGAGAUUUUCCGAAUGGUCUUACGUCAAGGUGAUAUGGUCAAAGCUGCCUUCUAUGACGCAUUGAAAAAACACGAACCACAUAUACUAAACAGUCAUGAUGGCAGCUGAUGAUGCAUCAGAAGACCAAAGGUUUUGGUGUUUUUGUUUCUUUUAUUU